GUGGAGAUGUCAGUCUGUCCACGUGGAGA
This 29-nucleotide non-coding RNA is filed under the name Homo sapiens (human). Lineage: Eukaryota; Metazoa; Chordata; Mammalia; Primates; Hominidae. The record is from RNAcentral.